GUUAAGUUUAUUUUCCAAUGUUCAGAUACAAUGUUUUGAUUCUUCGUCUUAUUUAAAAUUUUUUACGAUUAUUUUUUUUACUAGAUAAUAAAACAUAAAUAAUACUUUAUACAUGAAUAAAUUUUUUUAAAGUUUUUUUUACAAAUUUUCAAAUAAGACGAAUGAUCAAAUGUUGAAGCACAGAAAUCGAAAAAUGAAGUUAGG
This 204-nucleotide microRNA precursor is filed under the name Oryza brachyantha (malo sina). RNAcentral describes it as "MIR812 microRNA precursor family". It matches the Rfam family "MIR812 microRNA precursor family". Lineage: Eukaryota; Viridiplantae; Streptophyta; Magnoliopsida; Poales; Poaceae. The record is from Rfam by way of RNAcentral.